This is a non-coding RNA of Pelobates cultripes (western spadefoot toad), 104 nucleotides long. The record is from the annotation of a GenBank genome assembly. NCBI's taxonomy places the organism in Eukaryota, Metazoa, Chordata, Amphibia, Anura, Pelobatidae.
CUCCAGAUGUUGCUGAACUACAACUCCCAUGAAUCUAUGAAUGAAAUAUGAAUGAAAUAGAUAGGUUGAGAAUCAUGGGAGUUGUAGUUCAGCAACAUCUGGAG